AGAGUUUGAUCCUGGCUCAGAAUCAACGCUGGCGGCGUGCCUAACACAUGCAAGUCGAACGCGAAAGUCCCGCAAGGGAUGAGUAGAGUGGCAAACGGGUGAGUAACACGUGGGUGACCUGCCUUCGAGCGGGGGAUAACGUCCCGAAAGGGACGCUAAUACCGCAUGACAUCCUGCCUUUGAACAGGCGGUGAUCAAAGCUGGGGAUCGCAAGACCUGGCACUUGAAGAGGGGCCCGCGCCUGAUUAGCUAGUUGGUGAGGUAAUGGCUCACCAAGGCGACGAUCAGUAUCCGGCCUGAGAGGGCGGACGGACACACUGGGACUGAGACACGGCCCAGACUCCUACGGGAGGCAGCAGUGGGGAAUUGUUCGCAAUGGGCGCAAGCCUGACGACGCAACGCCGCGUGGAGGAUGGAGACCUUCGGGUCG
This 430-nucleotide ribosomal RNA is filed under the name uncultured bacterium. RNAcentral's name for it is "bacterial SSU rRNA". It matches the Rfam family "Bacterial small subunit ribosomal RNA", at positions 8 to 425 of the family's 1533-position model. The record is from RNAcentral.